Molecule: long non-coding RNA, 514 nt
Filed under: Pongo abelii (Sumatran orangutan)
Lineage: Eukaryota; Metazoa; Chordata; Mammalia; Primates; Hominidae
Description: lincRNA
Source: RNAcentral
CUCCUGCUUCUCCCUCUGCUGGAAUAAUGACUUUGUACUGAAUUCUCACAGGAAGUCUCACACGAAGACACUGCUAACUCCACUUUCAGAGAGAAACACUGAGGCUCGGAGCUAAACUAACUCGCCUCAGAGCCCACAUCCUGGACUUGAGCCUCAGGGUGUCGCACGCCAAAGCCUGUCCUCUUCACCCCAGCUUCCUGGGCAUUGGAACGGAUCCACAGUGUCAGAUAUGCAGUGGGAAUGGCCCCCAUUCCAAGCCACUUCCUGACCUGAUGGCAGCACCCUGCUAGUCCUCACAUUGGAGCCCUGGAGAAGCCGGGUUCCUUAACCCAGAUUUGAAUCAAUAGCCCCAUACCUGGUAUGCACAUCCAGGCCAAGUGUGGCUGAAUGGGGAGCAUCUGUUCUGGAGAAGGCCACCCUCAUGGGCUCCUCUGCUUCCUGUCCCUUCGGGCACUGAUUUAUGGCACGCAGCAGGGAAGGGCCUGAGCUUGAGCCCUGACCAUCGUUAUCAUCA